UACGGAGGGUGCAAGCGUUAUCCGGAUUCAUUGGGUUUAAAGGGUGCGUAGGAGGGCAGGUAAGUCAGUGGUGAAAUCCCCGAGCUUAACUUGGGAACUGCCGUUGAUACUACCUGUCUUGAAUACCGUGGAGGUGAGCGGAAUAUGUCAUGUAGCGGUGAAAUGCUUAGAUAUGACAUAGAACACCAAUUGCGAAGGCAGCUCGCUACACGAAUAUUGACUCUGAGGCACGAAAGCGUGGGGAUCAAACAGG
This 253-nucleotide ribosomal RNA is filed under the name uncultured bacterium. Its description in RNAcentral is "partial 16S ribosomal RNA". It matches the Rfam family "Bacterial small subunit ribosomal RNA", at positions 524 to 776 of the family's 1533-position model. The record is from RNAcentral.